CUAGUAACUGCGAGUGAAGCGGGAAAAGCUCAAAUUUAAAAUCUGAUGGUCUUUGGCCGUCCGAGUUGUAAUCUAGAGAAGUGUUACCCGCGCUGGACCGUGUACAAGUCUCCUGGAAUGGAGCGUCGUAGAGGGUGAGAAUCCCGUCUUUGACACGGACUGCCAGGGCUUUGUGGUGCGCUCUCAAAGAGUCGAGUUGUUUGGGAAUGCAGCUCAAAAUGGGUGGUAAAUGCCAUCUAAAGCUAAAUAUUGGCGAGAGACCGAUAGCGAACAAGUACCGUGAGGGAAAGAUGAAAAGAACUUUGGAAAGAGAGUUAAACAGUACGUGAAAUUGCUGAAAGGGAAACGCUUGAAGUCAGUCACGCUGCGAAGAAUCAACCUUGCUUUUGCUUGGUGUACUUUUUCGUCUGCGGGUCAGCAUCAGUUUUGAUCAUUGGAUAAAGGUUAUGGGAAUGUGGCAUCUUCGGAUGUGUUAUAGCCUGUGAUUGCAUACAAUGGUUGGGACUGAGGAACUCAGCGCGCCGCAAGGCCGGGAUUCGUCCACGUUCGCGCUUAGGAUGCUGGCAUAAUGGCUUUAAUCGACCCGUCUUGAAACACGGACCAAGGAGUCUAACAUGCCUGCGAGUGUUUGGGUGGAAAACUCGAGCGCGUAAUGAAAGUGAAAGUUGAGAUCCCUGUCGUGGGGAGCAUCGACGCCCGGACCAGACCUUCUGUGACGGAUCCGCGGUAGAGCAUGUAUGUUGGGACCCGAAAGAUGGUGAACUAUGCCUGAAUAGGGUGAAGCCAGANGAAACUCUGGUGGAGGCUCGUAGCGAUUCUGACGUGCAAAUCGAUCGUCAAAUUUGGGU
Molecule: ribosomal RNA, 848 nt
Filed under: Simocybe reducta
Lineage: Eukaryota; Fungi; Basidiomycota; Agaricomycetes; Agaricales; Crepidotaceae
Description: eukaryotic LSU rRNA
Rfam family: Eukaryotic large subunit ribosomal RNA
Source: RNAcentral